CUGUAUGCUGCUUUUGCCGGGGACAGAACAGGAAUGGAGUCUUAGAACUUUUAGAGAACAUCUCCAAACAGGAAUACUUGUGUGCCUUGGAUCCAUUAUUUCCUCAUUGGUGGUUGAGGAGAAUUCCACAUCAUGGUGUUUCUGUUUUGAUGCCCUGUAGUCUGCUUGACAAGAAUUGUAGCUACAUCAUCUAGGGUUUGCGGAGACAAAAUGUACUGUGUGUACAAAGUAGCUGCCAGCAAUUAGACUGUCUUUCCUGUCAAGCAGACAACUAUCAAGCUUGAAGAGAUCUUCACCAUGAUAGCAAUGUGUUCUGUCUUCAAGGAUCUAAUUUGCUAAACCUGGUAUUUCCCAGAUAAGACGCAAAGACGCAGAAACAUUGUGUCUCUUCUUGCUUGUGUCUCAACAGCACGCAGUGGAGGGGAGGUGGAUUUUCAGUGCACACUUUCCAUAUUCACACCUGUGAUACCCUAACCCUAAUCCUAACCCAUAUUGAUUUCUUCUUUCUAAAGGUAGUUCUAAUGUCACUUUGCCAGUGCUUGUAUGCUGCAUGUAGGAGACCUAUGGCCCAGAAUGCAUGGAUGGGCAGUACUAGUUCCUUAUGUGGCUCCUUUUGUUAUUCUGGCUUUGAUCCUCCAAAUUCCAUCAACAGUUUGCAGGAGUAAAAUUGUUAGAUAUGCGCUCACUGUAUAUAAAUGUUGAAUAUUAAAUUGUAAACAAAACUAAAGUAAUUACAAAUUCUACAUAAUAAACUUCCCCUUACAUUUGUUAUUAUGUAUAAAUCUUUCUCCUUGGUGUUGUUGAACAUCCGUGUUCUCAAUAGAAUGGUAGAUAUGGCAAUAAACCUAUCUUAAUAUGGGUUUUGUUGGUACAGUCAUAAUUUUUUUACCCUUGAUAGG
Chelonia mydas (Green sea turtle) is the source of this 899-nucleotide long non-coding RNA. RefSeq lists it as uncharacterized. The record is from RefSeq and is a predicted model, not a curated record. The transcript has 3 exons. Lineage: Eukaryota; Metazoa; Chordata; Testudines; Cheloniidae.